ACUGCGAAGCUAGCAUGCUAAGCUAACAGCUGAUUGAAGUACAUGUUUUCUUAAUGAAUAAUCGUAAAAAUACUGCAAAUAAUGUUUGCCAAGAUAUAGUAUCUGCAAACCAAAUGUUCGUCAUAUCGGUGCAUGUUGUUUGUUUCUCCUUUUUUUAUCCUCCAAGUUAAUUGAAGAAAAACGUGGUAUUGACAGAGUUGAGAGCAUUACUGAAAUUAAUCUUUCAUUGAAUUAGUUGAUUAAUUGUCGACAGUAAAUUUAUUUAUUCAUCUGCUACCGUCAUUGUAAGUCAGCUGUUCCAUUUACGUCGCAACACUGGAAAAUGAGCCGUACUUCCACCAGAACUAUUCAUGUCACACUUUGUCCUCACUCAAGGUGGAAACGCACGCAACUCAUUCUUAUUUCAGUAUUUUGUAUUUUCCACUGUCAUUUAGACUCUGCUUCAUUACUGCAGCUAAAUAAAUAAUUUCACAGUGUUAUUAAAGGCAGUAAUAAAGGACCAGUACAGAAGAAAAU
Syngnathus acus (greater pipefish) is the source of this 516-nucleotide long non-coding RNA. RefSeq lists it as uncharacterized. The transcript has 2 exons. The record is from RefSeq and is a predicted model, not a curated record. Lineage: Eukaryota; Metazoa; Chordata; Actinopteri; Syngnathiformes; Syngnathidae.